GAUGAAGAACGUAGCGAAAUGCGAUAAGUAGUGUGAAUUGCAGAUUUCAGUGAAUCAUCGAAUCUUUGAACGCACAUUGCGCCCUUUGGUAUUCCUUAGGGCAUGCCUGUUCGAGCGUCAUUUAAACCUUCAAGCUCAGCUUGGUGAUGGGUGACUGUCCGCUGCCUCCCCCCGGGGUGCGCCGCGGACUCGCCUCAAAACGAUUGGCGGCCGGUACGUUGGCUUCGAGCGCAGCAGAAACGCGUAACUCGAGGGCCCCGUGGCGGCUCCCAGAAGCAACCUUAUUAUUUUGACCUCGGAUCAGGUAGGGAUACCCGCUGAACUUAAGCAUAUCAAUAAGCGGAGGA
Molecule: unclassified non-coding RNA, 347 nt
Filed under: soil metagenome
Description: partial contains 5.8S ribosomal RNA, internal transcribed spacer 2, and large subunit ribosomal RNA
Rfam family: 5.8S ribosomal RNA (bases 1-120)
Source: RNAcentral